Molecule: unclassified non-coding RNA, 247 nt
Filed under: Hevea brasiliensis (rubber tree)
Lineage: Eukaryota; Viridiplantae; Streptophyta; Magnoliopsida; Malpighiales; Euphorbiaceae
Source: RNAcentral
AGCCGUUAUCUUAAAUAACCCCCCUCUUAUGCACCCAUGAGAUCCUGGCAACACGCAAAAGGCAAGCUCCAACUUAAUCACCUUGAACGUCCAUACCACAUCAACAUAACAAAAUUACAGCAAACUUAUUAUUGUAUAAAAAAAAUUCCUGUCAAUAAUUGGUGCAUUGUGAAAAAUCCUGAAUUUCUCAAUCCACUUGGGCAGUCCCGAAAAAGCAAGCAUUCUAAGUUCUUACAUUCUUGUUUUU